Oryza rufipogon (brownbeard rice) is the source of this 208-nucleotide microRNA precursor. It matches the Rfam family "MIR812 microRNA precursor family". NCBI's taxonomy places the organism in Eukaryota, Viridiplantae, Streptophyta, Magnoliopsida, Poales, Poaceae. The record is from Rfam.
AAAAAGACAAACUCUGAGUUUCCGUGUCCAAUGUUUGACCGUCUGUCUUAUAUGAAUUUUUUUUAUAAUUAGUAUUUUCAUUGUUGUUAGGUGAUAAAACAUGAUUAAUACUUUAUGCGUGAUUUAUCUUUUUAAUUUUUUUCAUAAUUUUUUUUAAAUAAGACGGACGGUCAAACAUUGGACACGGAAACCUAGGGUUGUCUUUUUU